AUGACCAGGCAUCCGGUCUUCCUAUUGACAAAUUACAGGCUCACUUCUUCCUUUACAAUCCUUGUUGCAUUGCAUUGUAGGGGUUUCACGAGUUGAAAUAUGGUGACUUUCUAGGAUGCAAGCAGCUAACUCGCACCUUUUUAAAGUAAGGAGCCUGUAUAACUUAUCGUAUUAGAUUAUAUCGAUGAGAUCUUGUUAGAAAAAACUUGUUAUUACAAAUACAGGGAGCUUGUGACCGGUGGUGGUGGUGGAAAUAAUUUGGAAGUCAUGAUUUUACAUGACUGUGAGCAUCUCAAACAAGUGGCAGUUAGGCAGUUUAUAGAAGCUCUUAUUGCAGGAAAUUUGAGACUCCUAAAACAUCUUGACAUAUCAAACAUAAAAGGUCCAGCACUUGAUGGAGGGACCCAAAGAAGUUUUGGUGUGAGGUGUAUUAUGUAAAUUUACCAUCCUUUCUUUUUUUGUAUGUAAAGGCCUAAUUUCUGCCUUGUGGUUGAAUUUCCCGACCCAAGGUUAGUGUAUUUAUGUUGUUUUUUGGUGAAAUGAUGACCAUGACACUCUUCUCUACCUUUGCAGUUGACCAAACUUUAAAGUUGCAGGCAUUAUCUAUCAAUCUACACGUUUCUAUAUUUUUCAAGUGCAAUUGUACAA
Lactuca sativa (garden lettuce) is the source of this 648-nucleotide non-coding RNA. NCBI's taxonomy places the organism in Eukaryota, Viridiplantae, Streptophyta, Magnoliopsida, Asterales, Asteraceae. The record is from RefSeq and is a predicted model, not a curated record.